AACGAAAGACACUAAACCAAGCUCUCUUCUCAAUCUUAAUGAAAAACACUAGAUGAGAAAAAGGGUCCUAUGUCCAGAAAAAGAGAAUUUUUAAAAAUUAUUGAAACUUUAAAAAAUAGGGUCUGAUUGGUAAAUAAAAGCUGUAUAAGUUUUCUAACUGUUAGUUGGAGUUGUUAGCUUUAUUGAAAUAGUACAAAACUGUUAAAAGAAGCUGUACAAAAAAGUUAUAAAAAAA
This 235-nucleotide small RNA is filed under the name Arabidopsis thaliana (thale cress). RNAcentral's name for it is "ATSL078620". The record is from RNAcentral. Lineage: Eukaryota; Viridiplantae; Streptophyta; Magnoliopsida; Brassicales; Brassicaceae.